RNAcentral lists this ribosomal RNA (1397 nucleotides) under metagenome. RNAcentral's name for it is "bacterial LSU rRNA". It matches the Rfam family "Bacterial large subunit ribosomal RNA", at positions 572 to 1973 of the family's 2925-position model. The record is from RNAcentral.
AAGUAGGAGCCUCGAAAGAGGUGACUGCGUACCUUUUGUAUAAUGGGUCAGCGACUUACAUUCAGUGGCAAGCUUAACCGAGUAGGGAAGGCGUAGAGAAAUCGAGUCCGAAUAGGGCGUUCAGUCGCUGGGUGUAGACCCGAAACCAAGUGAUCUAACCAUGGCCAGGAUGAAGGUGCCGUAACAGGUACUGGAGGUCCGAACCGACUGAUGUUGCAAAAUCAGCGGAUGAGCUGUGGUUAGGGGUGAAAGGCUAAACAAACUUGGAAAUAGCUGGUUCUCUCCGAAAACUAUUUAGGUAGUGCCUCAAGUAUUACCUGCGGGGGUAGAGCACUGUUUUGGCUAGGGGGUCAUGGCGACUUACCAAACCAAGGCAAACUCCGAAUACCGCAGAGUACAGCUUGGGAGACAGAGCACCGGGUGCUAACGUCCGGACUCAAGAGGGAAACAACCCAGACCGCCAGCUAAGGUCCCUAAAAUUGGCUAAGUGGGAAACGAAGUGGGAAGGCUAAAACAGUCAGGAUGUUGGCUUAGAAGCAGCCAUCAUUUAAAGAAAGCGUAAUAGCUCACUGAUCGAGUCGUCCUGCGCGGAAGAUGUAACGGGGCUAAGCCAGUUACCGAAGCUGCGGAUGUGCAAUUUAUUGCACGUGGUAGGAGAGCGUUCUGUAAGCCUGUGAAGGUGUCUGGUAACGGAUGCUGGAGGUAUCAGAAGUGCGAAUGCUGACAUGAGUAGCGUUAAAGGGGGUGAAAAGCCCCCUCGCCGUAAGCGCAAGGUUUCCUACGCAACGUUCAUCGGCGUAGGGUGAGUCGGCCCCUAAGGCGAGGCAGAGAUGCGUAGCUGAUGGGAAACAGGUCAAUAUUCCUGUACCGAUCAAUAGUGCGAUGUGGGGACGGAGAAGGUUAGCUCAGCCAACUGUUGGAAUAGUUGGUUCAAGCCUGUAGUCGUGCCUGGUAGGCAAAUCCGCCGGGCUGAGAUGAGGGGUGAUAACGAGUGUGCUUGCACACGAAGUGAGUGAUACCCUGCUUCCAGGAAAAGCCACUAAGCUUCAGCUAUUGACGACCGUACCGCAAACCGACACUGGUGCGCGAGAUGAGUAUUCUAAGGCGCUUGAGAGAACUCAGGAGAAGGAACUCGGCAAAUUGAUACCGUAACUUCGGGAGAAGGUAUGCCCCUAGUAAGUGAAGUUGAACAAACGGAGCUGAAUGGGGUUGCAAAAAAUCGGUGGCUGCGACUGUUUAAUAAAAACACAGCACUCUGCAAACACGAAAGUGGACGUAUAGGGUGUGACGCCUGCCCGGUGCUGGAAGAUUAAAUGAUGGGGUGCAAGCUCUUGAUUGAAGUCCCAGUAAACGGCGGCCGUAACUAUAACGGUCCUAAGGUAGCGAAAUUCCUUGUC